AGUGAACGCUGGCGGCAGGCCUAACACAUGCAAGUCGAACGGCAGCACAAGAGAGCUUGCUCUCUGGGUGGCGAGUGGCGGACGGGUGAGGAAUGCAUCGGAAUCUGCCCAUUUGUGGGGGAUAACCUCGGGAAACCGGGACUAAUACCGCAUACGACCUACGGGUGAAAGCAGGGGAUCUUCGGACCUUGCGCAGAUGGAUGAGCCGAUGCCGGAUUAGCUAGUUGGAGGGGUAAAGGCCCACCAAGGCGACGAUUCGUAGCUGGUCUGAGAGGAUGAUCAGCCACACUGGGACUGAGACACGGCCCAGACUCCUACGGGAGGCAGCAGUGGGGAAUAUUGGACAAUGGGCGCAAGCCUGAUCCAGCCAUGCCGCGUGUGUGAAGAAGGCCUUCGGGUUGUAAAGCACUUUUGUUGGGAAAGAAAAGCAGCCGGUUAAUACCCGGUUGUCAUGACGGUACCCAAAGAAUAAGCACCGGCUAACUUCGUG
RNAcentral lists this ribosomal RNA (490 nucleotides) under uncultured bacterium. RNAcentral's name for it is "partial 16S ribosomal RNA". It matches the Rfam family "Bacterial small subunit ribosomal RNA", at positions 29 to 507 of the family's 1533-position model. The record is from RNAcentral.